This 29-nucleotide non-coding RNA is filed under the name Mus musculus (house mouse). Lineage: Eukaryota; Metazoa; Chordata; Mammalia; Rodentia; Muridae. The record is from RNAcentral.
UGGGGUAAACACGUGUCCUAGCAGCCUUU